AUUAAUUUGGCAGAUUUGAGUGCAUUAAGUUUAGGUCUUAUUUAUAUUGUUUAUUCAAUAGUUAAUA
RNAcentral lists this transfer RNA (67 nucleotides) under Orestes guangxiensis. RNAcentral describes it as "tRNA-Leu". The record is from RNAcentral. Lineage: Eukaryota; Metazoa; Arthropoda; Insecta; Phasmatodea; Heteropterygidae.